RNAcentral lists this ribosomal RNA (257 nucleotides) under uncultured bacterium. RNAcentral describes it as "partial 16S ribosomal RNA". It matches the Rfam family "Bacterial small subunit ribosomal RNA", at positions 15 to 266 of the family's 1533-position model. The record is from RNAcentral.
GAUCAUGGCUCAGGACGAACGCUGGCGGCGUGCCUAACACGUGCAAGUCGAACGGGGCUAGGAAAGCUUGCUUUCCGAAGCCUAGUGGCGGACGGGUGAGUAACGCGUGAGUAACCUGCCUUUCAGAGGGGAAUAACGUUCUGAAAAGAACGCUAAUACCGCAUAACGUACAGUUACCGCAUGGUAGCAGUACCAAAGGAGCAAUCCGCUGAAAGAUGGACUCGCGUCCGAUUAGCUAGUUGGUGGGGUAAAGGCCU